RNAcentral lists this long non-coding RNA (6399 nucleotides) under Zostera marina. RNAcentral's name for it is "long non-coding RNA (ZMAR_LNC004438)". Lineage: Eukaryota; Viridiplantae; Streptophyta; Magnoliopsida; Alismatales; Zosteraceae. The record is from RNAcentral.
UCACCAAAUAAUAAUGAAGAUCAUUUGAAAACAUCAAGUGGGGCUCCUUCGUCAACACCUACAAUUGGAAAAUCAAUUCCAUCGUUGGAACCACAACAAGAAGACAUGGCAUCUCCUCAAACAGGAUCUCCUCUGCCAACACCGACAAAUAAUGAAAAACGUGUGAAACGAAAGGGUCAAACGACAACGCAACAUGUUGGAUCACCAAAUUCACCUUUGGAAGGUCAUUCUGCAAACGCACCAAAUGAAAAUGGUUCGUCGUUCCAACCACAUUCUCCAUCAUCGUCACCUGGUCAAGAAGAAAGUGUGGAGAGUCCUUCAGGUUCCGCUAGGGAAACACCUACAAACGAAGCAAGUUUCAUUGGAAGAUCACCAAAUAAUAAUGAAGAUCAUUUGAAAACAUCAAGUGGGGCUCCUUCGUCAACACCUACAAUUGGAAAAUCAAUUCCAUCGUUGGAACCACAACAAGAAGACAUGGCAUCUCCUCAACCAGUUUCUUCUCAACGAACACCGACAAAUAAUGAAAAUCGUGUGAAACGAAGGGGUGAAACAAUAACUCAACAUGUUGGAUCACCAAAUUCACCUUUGGAAGGUCAUUCUCCAAACGCACCCAAUGAAAAUGGUUCGUCGUUCCUACCACAUUCUCCAUCAUCGUCACCUGGUCAAGAAGAAAGUGUGGAGAGUCCUUCAGGUUCCGCUAGGGAAACACCUACAAACGAAGCAAGUUUCAUUGGAAGAUCACCAAAUAAUGAAGAUCAUUUGAAAACAUCAAGUGGGGCUCCUUCGUCAACACCUACAAUUGGAAAAUCAAUUCCAUCGUUGGAACCACAACAAGAAGACAUGGCAUCUCCUCAACCAGUUUCUUCUCGACUAACACCGACAAAUAAUGAAAAUCGUGUGAAACGAAAGGGUCAAACAACAACUCAACAUGUUGGAUCACCAAAGACACCUUCGGAAGGUCAUUCUCCAAACGCACCCAAUGAAAAUGUUUCGUCGUUCCUACCACAUUCUCCAUCAUCGUCACCUGGUCAAGAAGAAAGUGUGGAGAGUCCUUUAGGUUCCGCUAGGGAAACACCUACAAACGAAGCAAGUUUCAUUGGAAGAUCACCAAAUAAUGAAGAUCAUUUGAAAAUAUCAAGUGGGGCUCCUUCUUCAACACCUACAAUUGGAAAAUCAAUUCCAUCGUUGGAACCACAACAAGAAGACAUGGCAUCUCCUCAACCAGUUUCUUCUCGACUAACACCGACAAAUAAUGAAAAUCGUGUGAAACGAAAGGGUGAAACAACAACUCAACAUGUUGGAUCACCAAAGACACCUUCGGAAGGUCAUUCUCCAAACGCAGCCAAUGAAAAUGGAUCGUCGUUCCUACCACAUUCUCCAUCAUCGUCACCUGGUCAAGAAGAAAGUGUGGAGAGUCCUUUAGGUUCCGCUAGGGAAACACCUACAAACGAAGCAAGUUUCAUUGGAAGAUCACCAAAUAAUGAAGAUCAUUUGAAAACAUCAAGUGGGGCUCCUUCUUCAACACCUACAAUUGGAAAAUCAAUUCCAUCGUUGGAACCACAACAAGAAGACAUGGCAUCUCCACAAACAGGAUCUCCUCGACUAACACCGACAGAUAAUAAAAAUCAUGUGAAACGAAAGGGUCAAACAACAACGCAACAUGUUAGAUCACCAAAUUCACCUUUGGAAGGUCAUUCUCCAAACGCACCCAAUGAAAAUGGUUCGUCGUUCCUACCACAUUCUCCAUCAUCGUCACCUGGUCAAGAAGAAAGUGUGGAGAGUCCUUCAGGUUCCGCUAGGGAAACACCUACAAACGAAGCAAGUUUCAUUGGAAGAUCACCAAAUAAUGAAGUACAUUUGAAAACAUCAAGUGGGGUUCCUUCGUCAACACCUACAAUUGGAAAAUCAAUUCCAUCGUUGGAACCACAACAAGAAGACAUGGCAUCUCCUCAACCAGUUUCUUCUCGACUAACACCGACAAAUAAUGAAAAUCGUGUGAAACGAAAGGGUGAAACGACAACGCAACAUGUUGGAUCACCAAAUUCACCUUUGGAAGGUCAUUCUCCAAACGCACCCAAUGAAAAUGGUUCGUCGUUCCAACCACAUUCUCCAUCAUCGUCACCUGGUCAAGAAGAAAGUGUGGAGAGUCCUUCAGGUUCCGCUAGGGAAACACCUACAAACGAAGCAAGUUUCAUUGGAAGAUCACCAAAUAAUAAUGAAGAUCAUUUGAAAACAUCAAGUGGGGCUCCUUCGUCAACACCUACAAUUGGUAAAUCAAUUCCAUCGUUGGAACCACAACAAGAAGACAUGGCAUCUCCACAAACAGGAUCUCCUCGACGAACACCGACAGAUAAUAAAAAUCAUGUGAAACGAAAGGGUCAAACAACAACGCAACAUGUUAGAUCACCAAAUUCACCUUUGGAAGGUCAUUCUCCAAACGCACCCAAUGAAAAUGGUUCGUCGUUCCUACCACAUUCUCCAUCAUCGUCACCUGGUCAAGAAGAAAGUGUGGAGAGUCCUUCAGGUUCCGCUAGGGAAACACCUACAAACGAAGCAAGUUUCAUUGGAAGAUCACCAAAUAAUGAAGAUCAUUUGAAAACAUCAAGUGGGGCUCCUUCGUCAACACCUACAAUUGGAAAAUCAAUUCCAUCGUUGGAACCACAACAAGAAGACAUGGCAUCUCCUCAACCAGUUUCUUCUCGACUAACCCCGACAAAUAAUGAAAAUCGUGUGAAACGAAAGGGUGAAACAACAACUCAACAUGUUGGAUCACCAAAGACACCUUUGGAAGGUCAUUCUCCAAACGCACCCAAUGAAAAUGGAUCGUCGUUCCUACCACAUUCUCCAUCAUCGUCACCUGGUCAAGAAGAAAGUGUGGAGAGUCCUUCAGGUUCCGCUAGGGAAACACCUACAAACGAAGCAAGUUUCAUUGGAAGAUCACCAAAUAAUAAUGAAGAUCAUUUGAAAAUAUCAAGUGAGGCUCCUUCGUCAACACCUACAAUUGGUAAAUCAAUUCCAUCGUUGGAACCACAACAAGAAGACAUGGCAUCUCCACAAACAGGAUCUCCUCGACUAACACCGACAGAUAAUGAAAAUCAUGUGAAACGAAAGGGUCAAACAACAACGCAACAUGUUGGAUCACCAAAGACACCUUUGGAAGGUCAUUCUCCAAACGCACCCAAUGAAAAUGGAUUGUCGUUCCUACCACAUUCUCCAUCAUCGUCACCUGGUCAAGAAGAAAGUGUGGAGAGUCCUUCAGGUUCCGCUAGGGAAACACCAACAAACGAAGCAAGUUUCAUUGGAAGAUCACCAAAUAAUGAAGAUCAUUUGAAAACAUCAAGUGGGGCUCCUUCGUCAACACCUACAAUUGGAAAAUCAAUUCCAUCGUUGGAACCACAACAAGAAGACAUGGCAUCUCCUCAACCAGUUUCUUCUCGACUAACACCGACAAAUAAUGAAAAUCGUGUGAAACGAAAGGGUGAAACAACAACUCAACAUGUUGGAUCACCAAAUUCACCUUUGGAAGGUCAUUCUCCAAACGCACCCAAUGAAAAUGGUUCGUCGUUCCAACCACAUUCUCCAUCAUCGUCACCUGGUCAAGAAGAAAGUGUGGAGAGUCCUUUAGGUUCCGCUAGGGAAACACCUACAAACGAAGCAAGUUUCAUUGGAAGAUCACCAAAUAAUGAAGAUCAUUUGAAAACAUCAAGUGGGGCUCCUUCGUCAACACCUACAAUUGGUAAAUCAAUUCCAUCGUUAGAACCACAACAAGAAGACAUGGCAUCUCCACAAACAGGAUCUCCUCGACUAACACCGACAGAUAAUAAAAAUCAUGUGAAACGAAAGGGUCAAACAACAACGCAACAUGUUAGAUCACCAAAUUCACCUUUGGAAGGUCAUUCUCCAAACGCACCCAAUGAAAAUGGUUCGUCGUUCCUACCACAUUCACCAUCAUCGUCACCUGGUCAAGAAGAAAGUGUGGAGAGUCCUUCAGGUUCCGCUAGGGAAACACCUACAAACGAAGCAAGUUUCAUUGGAAGAUCACCAAAUAAUAAUGAAGAUCAUUUGAAAACAUCAAGUGAGGCUCCUUCGUCAACACCUACAAUUGGUAAAUCAAUUCCAUCGUUGGAACCACAACAAGAAGACAUGGCAUCUCCACAAACAGGAUCUCCUCGACUAACACCGACAGAUAAUAAAAAUCAUGUGAAACGAAAGGGUCAAACAACAACGCAACAUGUUAGAUCACCAAAUUCACCUUUGGAAGGUCAUUCUCCAAACGCACCCAAUGAAAAUGGUUCGUCGUUCCUACCACAUUCUCCACCAUCGUCACCUGAUCAUGAAGAAAUUGUGGAGAGUCCUUCAGGUUCUGCUAGGGAAACACCUACAAACGAAGCAAGUUUCAUUAGAAGAUCACCAAAUAAUGAAGAUCAUUUGAAAACAUCAAGUGGGGCUCCUUCGUCAACACCUACAAUUGGUAAAUCAAUUCCAUCGUUGGAACCAAAACAAGAAGACAUGGCAUCUCCUCAAACAGGAUCUCCUCUGCCAACACCGACAAAUAAAGAAAAACGUGUGAAACGAAAGGGUCAAACGACAACGCAACAUGUUGGAUCACGAAAUUCACCUUUGGAAGGUGAUUCUCCAAACGCACCCAAUGAAAAUGGUUCGUCGUUUCAACCACAUUCUCCAUCAUCGUCACCUGACCAUGAAGAAAGUGUGGAGAGUCCUUCAGGUUUUGGUAGGGAAACACCUACAAACGAAGCAAGUUUCAUUGGAAGAUCACCAAAUAAUGAAGUUCAUUUGAAAACAUCAAGUGGGGCUCCUUCGUCAACACCUACAAUUGGACAAUCAAUUCCAUCGUUGGAACCACAACAAGAAGAUAUGGCAUCUCCACAACCAGUUUCUUCUCGACUAACACCGACAAAUAAUGAAAAUCGUGUGAAACGAAAGGGUCAAAUAACAACUCAACAUGUUGGAUCACCAAAGACACCUUUGAAAGGUCAUUCUCCAAACGCACCCAAUGAAAAUGGUUCGUCGUUCCAACCACAUUCUCCAUCAUCGUCACCUGACCACGAAGAAAGUGUGGAAAGUCCUUCAGGUUUUGGUAGGGAAACAAGUACAAACGAAGCAAGUUUAAUUGGAAGAUCACCAAAUAAUGAAGAUCAUUUGAAAACAUCAAGUGGGGCUCCUUCGUCAACACCUACAAUUGGAAAAUCAAUUCCAUCAUUGGAACCCCAACAAGAAGACAUGACAUCUCCACAUAUCGGAUCUCCUCGACCAACACCGACAAGCAAUGAAAAUCGUGUGAAACGAAAGGGUCAAACAACAACGCAACAUGUUGGAUCACCAAAGACAUCUUUCGAAGGUCAUUCUCCAAAUGCACCCAGUGAAAAUGGUAAAUCCUUCCAACCAAAGACACCUUUGGAAGGACAUUCUCCAAAUGCACCCAAUGAAAAUGGUUCGUCGUUCCAACCACAUUCUCCUUCAUCGUCACCUGAUCACGAAGAAAGUGAGGAGAGUCCUUCAGGUUCUGCUAGUGGAACACCUACAAAUGAAGCAAGUUCCAUUGGAAGAUCUCCAAAUAAUGAAGAUCAUUUGAAAACAUCAAUUGAGGCUCCUUCGUCAAAACCUACAAUUGGUAAAUGGAUUCCAUCGUUGGAACCACAACAAGAAGACAUGACAUUUCCACAAACCGGAUCUCCUCGACUAACACCUACAAAUAAUGAAAAUCGUGUGAAACGAAAGGGUCAAACAACAACGCAACAUGUUGGAUCACCAAAGACACCUUUGGAAGGUCGUUCUCCAAAUGUACCCAAUGAAAAUGGUUCGUUGUUCCAACCACAUUCUCCAUCAUUGUCACCUGACCACGAAAAAAGUGUGGAAAGUCCUUCAGGUUUUGCUAGGGAAACCCCUACAAAUGAAGCAAGUUUUAUUGGAAGAUCACCAAAUAAUGAAGUACAUUUGAAAACUUCAAGUGGUGCUCCUUCGUUAACACCGGAAAUUGGUAAAUCGAUUCCAUCGUUGGAGCCUCAACAAGAAGACAUGGCAUCUCCACAGAUAGGAUCUCCUCUGCCAACACCGACAAAUAAUGAAAAUCGUGUGAAACGAAAGGGUCAAACAACAUCGCAACAACAUGUUGGAUCACCAAAGACACCUUUGGAAGGUCAUUCUCCAAAUACAUCCAAUGAAAAUGGUUCGCCUUUCCAACCACAUACCCCAUCAUCGUCACCUGACCACAAAGAAAGUGUGGAGAGUCCUUCAGGUUCUGCUAGGGAAACACCAACAAAUGAAGCAAGUUUCAUUGUAAGAUCACCAAAUAAUGAAGAACAUUUGAAAACUUCAAGUGGUGCUCCUUCGUUAACACCUGAAAAUGGUAAAUCGAUUCCAUCGUUGGAGCCACAACAA